Anguilla anguilla (European eel) is the source of this 949-nucleotide long non-coding RNA. RefSeq lists it as uncharacterized. Lineage: Eukaryota; Metazoa; Chordata; Actinopteri; Anguilliformes; Anguillidae. The record is from RefSeq and is a predicted model, not a curated record. The transcript is spliced from 3 exons.
UUGCGCUUCUUGAAAACAAGGGAGCAGGGAAACUCUCACAAGAACUCAGAUCGAUAGGGAGGUGAAAACAACAAAGGCUUAUUAAGUAACAAAGUAGCUACACUACGCGCGUUGUGCGAAGAGUGAAAAAUAUUCGUCUGAAAAUGGUGUGACUGAUCGUGAACGGUUGCCGCUACGUGGCGAGGAAGAUCAGAGCUGCCGUCAGGGGGGAGGAGCAGCCUGAGAAGCCCAUCAAAUCGGCAUGUAGCGCAAGCAAAGCGUGGAAGGGGGAGGGCUCCCGGCGUGAGCACAGUGUUCAGGACCCCAUGUUCGAGCCCAAGCCUGAAGGAGCUGCUCCAGCCCAGAGCGUGGAGGAGUGCAGGUCCUGAGGGUAGAGCAGAGGGCGACUGACGUGGGGGCGAGGAGAGGACUGCAGCCUAACCAGGCUCUGCCCAUCACAGCCAUGGCCUUUCAGCCAGAGAGAGCCACCCUCUGUUAACUUUCCAGUCUCUUUAAAAUCACUGAAUCGGCCAGGACCAAAAGUCAUCACCCCCAGACAAGUCAAAAUAUAAUUUCCAUUAAAAAAUGUGAAAAUGAUUAAAUUCUUACCUUCCCCUUUUCCUCCAUUCCUUAUCUCCAUCUCCUUCUUUGUCUCUCCCUCUCUCUUUCCUUUCCCCUUCCAUAUAUCUCUCCUCCCCUCUCCCUCCCACCCUUGCUCUCUCUGCCCCUCUGCUCCUCCCCCACUAAUUUGCCCUCUGCUCUCUCUCUCUCCCUGGGCUCAGAAACAGGACGUGGUUUAACAGCAAGGCAUGUGAAGGCCUGGGCAGAACUUCUCCACAGUGGGAAAUGUCCAAGCCUGAAGACAACCCUUUGGGUCCUUGCUGUUGUCAUUGUCCUUUGUUAUUAAUUCUAUGUGUAGCUAUUAUGAUUUGUAAUGAUCCUCAAUAAAUAAACUGGACUUUAAUGCGUA